GAAGCCCCCCUCAAGAUGAGAUUUCCCAUAGCGUAAGCUAGUAAGAUCCCUGAAAGAUGAUCAGGUUGAUAGGUUCGAGGUGGAAGCAUGGUGACAUGUGGAGCUGACGAAUACUAAUAGAUCGAGGACUUAACCAUAUAA
Molecule: ribosomal RNA, 141 nt
Filed under: Bacillus cereus
Lineage: Bacteria; Bacillati; Bacillota; Bacilli; Caryophanales; Bacillaceae
Description: partial 23S ribosomal RNA
Rfam family: Bacterial large subunit ribosomal RNA
Source: RNAcentral